Molecule: ribosomal RNA, 497 nt
Filed under: uncultured bacterium
Lineage: Bacteria
Description: partial 16S ribosomal RNA
Rfam family: Bacterial small subunit ribosomal RNA
Source: RNAcentral
GAUGAACGCUGGCGGCGUGCCUAAUACAUGCAAGUCGAGCGAACGGACGAGAAGCUUGCUUCUCUGAUGUUAGCGGCGGACGGGUGAGUAACACGUGGAUAACCUACCUAUAAGACUGGGAUAACUUCGGGAAACCGGAGCUAAUACCGGAUAAUAUUUUGAACCGCAUGGUUCAAAAGUAAAAGACGGUCUUGCUGUCACUUAUAGAUGGAUCCGCGCUGCAUUAGCUAGUUGGUAAGGUAACGGCUUACCAAGGCAACGAUGCAUAGCCGACCUGAGAGGGUGAUCGGCAACACUGGAACUGAGACACGGUCCAGACUCCUACGGGAGGCAGCAGUAGGGAAUCUUCCGCAAUGGGCGAAAGCCUGACGGAGCAACGCCGCGUGAGUGAUGAAGGUCUUCGGAUCGUAAAACUCUGUUAUUAGGGAAGAACAUAUGUGUAAGUAACUGUGCACAUCUUGACGGUACCUAAUCAGAAAGCCACGGCUAACUACGUG